AUUUAUAUAAUAUAAAAAUUAUAUUUAACUUCCAAUUAAAAAAUCUAGAAAAAUUCUAGUAUAAAUA
This 67-nucleotide transfer RNA is filed under the name Acanthoscelides obtectus. RNAcentral describes it as "tRNA-Gly". The record is from RNAcentral. Lineage: Eukaryota; Metazoa; Arthropoda; Insecta; Coleoptera; Chrysomelidae.